UACGUAGGGUGCGAGCGUUAAUCGGAAUUACUGGGCGUAAAGCGUGCGCAGGCGGUUCGCUAAGACAGGUGUGAAAUCCCCGGGCUUAACCUGGGAAUGGCGCUUGUGACUGGCGGGCUUGAGUACGGCAGAGGGAGGUGGAAUUCCACGUGUAGCAGUGAAAUGCGUAGAUAUGUGGAGGAACACCGAUGGCGAAGGCAGCCUCCUGGGCCAGUACUGACGCUCAUGCACGAAAGCGUGGGGAGCAAACAGG
Molecule: ribosomal RNA, 253 nt
Filed under: uncultured bacterium
Lineage: Bacteria
Description: partial 16S ribosomal RNA
Rfam family: Bacterial small subunit ribosomal RNA
Source: RNAcentral